This 497-nucleotide ribosomal RNA is filed under the name uncultured bacterium. RNAcentral's name for it is "partial 16S ribosomal RNA". It matches the Rfam family "Bacterial small subunit ribosomal RNA", at positions 28 to 507 of the family's 1533-position model. The record is from RNAcentral.
GACGAACGCUGGCGGCGUGCCUAAUACAUGCAAGUAGAACGCUGAAGAGAGGAGCUUGCUCUUCUUGGAUGAGUUGCGAACGGGUGAGUAACGCGUAGGUAACCUGCCUGGUAGCGGGGGAUAACUAUUGGAAACGAUAGCUAAUACCGCAUAAAAUUGAUUAUUGCAUGAUAAUUAAUUGAAAGAUGCAACUGCAUCACUACUAGAUGGACCUGCGUUGUAUUAGCUAGUUGGUGAGGUAACGGCUCACCAAGGCGGCGGUACAUAGCCGACCUGAGAGGGAGGACGAGCACAACGGGAAUGGGACACGGGCCAGACUCCCACGGGGGGGAGCAGUAGGGGAACUUUGGCGAAGGGGGGAAAGCCGACCCAGCAAAGCCGCGGGGGUGGAAAAAGGUUUUCGGGCUUAAAAGUCUGUUUUAUGAGAAAAACAAGUGUGAGAGUGAAAAGUUGCCACUGUGACGGUAUCUUACCAGAAAGGGACGGCUAACUACGUG